Non-coding RNA from Arenibacter nanhaiticus, 344 nucleotides. It matches the Rfam family "Bacterial RNase P class A". Rfam says of the family: Ribonuclease P (RNase P) is a ubiquitous endoribonuclease, found in archaea, bacteria and eukarya as well as chloroplasts and mitochondria. Its best characterised activity is the generation of mature 5'-ends of tRNAs by cleaving the 5'-leader elements of precursor-tRNAs. The record is from Rfam. Lineage: Bacteria; Pseudomonadati; Bacteroidota; Flavobacteriia; Flavobacteriales; Flavobacteriaceae.
GUAGCAGGUCGCCUUAUCGCUGAAAAGCAAAUUUGUUUUGUAAUUCAGAGGAAAGUCCGGACACCAUAGUGCAGUAUAGCGGGUAACGCCCGUCCAUCGAGAGAUGAGGACAAGUGCAACAGAAAGCAGGUACAGGUAAUGCUGUAGUGAAACCAGGUAAACUCUAUACGGUGCAACGCCAUGUAAAUCAGUGUUUGAGGGUGCACGCCCGAGCUGAAGGGUAGGCGGUUAAAGCUAUUGGGUGACCAAUAGACGAGAUAAAUGAUAAGGACAUUCUUAUUUUUUUAGGGGCAAUUCUAAAAUAGUAAGGCUGAACAGAAUCCGGCUUAUGACCUGCUUUUUUU